Long non-coding RNA from Dermochelys coriacea (leatherback sea turtle), 1012 nucleotides. RefSeq lists it as uncharacterized. The record is from RefSeq and is a predicted model, not a curated record. NCBI's taxonomy places the organism in Eukaryota, Metazoa, Chordata, Testudines, Dermochelyidae. The transcript has 3 exons.
UCCCUCGGCAACUUAAAAUUAGCCAUCUCAGCAAAAUAAUUUAUGAGUUGUUCCCAUUAGGGCCAUGCUCUGCUCCUCUAUACUAGCCACUUAUGAUAGUCCCUAUCUUUAGCAACUGUAUAGAACCAGCUGAAGACAUGGGAUCCUUACACACAUUCACAUCACCAUCCUCAGAAUUGCUUGGCCCUAGGUGGAGCCAGUAUACAUGAAACUGAAGAGCUAUUGAGCACCAUAAUGAUGCUUAAAAUAGUCGCAGGAUCUGACCCAUAGAGAUAUGUAGAAUGACAUCUGAAGCAAGGCAAAGACUCCACCUAAACAACAAAGGGCCUUGUCCUGCAAGAUGGUAAGCAAGCUUUAAUUAUAGUCAGUUGGAAUUAAAAUGGUGCUCAGAUGUUGCUCAGCACCAUACAUGACACAAUGUUGAGGCAUGUGCUCAAAAUACUGGCAUGUUUUUGUACUGAUAUCCUUUGCUGCCUGUCCAAGCAGCUGCAGUGAGGUGAUAAACGGCAGAGUUGGCAAAGUCCUUUCCUGCAAGAGACAAGCCCUUACACAUAUAUGAAGAGAGGAAGAUGAGGCCCAUGUAAAACAGAUAUUGGAGGAGGUAUCAGCAAGGCAGGAGGAGAAACAUGAAAAUGCAGAGCAAGAGGGGUCAAGAGAAGAAAAAGCAUAAAAGGCAAGAAUGUCAAACACCAGAGACAGAUCAAGAAGGAGGAUAAAGAACCAUGUUAGCAACAUAAAAAGAGCUGCCUGCUGCCAUCACAGAUGUACAAAUUUGGUAUCAUCAAGCAGCUCAUUCAUUAUUUUAAAAGGUAGCAAUGUAUUGCAUGAAAGAUUCCGACCAUUGGUCAUCAUCAAGAAGAGGUAAAACAGACCAAACAUUGCUUUUAAAAACUAUAAAUACUUUGAAUUGUUGAAAGAGAUUAAUGAAGAAAAUAUUUGGAAAUGUAUAAUUAGACAGACCUAAAUCCACCAGAUUUUAUUUUCAAUUGGCUUUAACUUGACACUCCUGGUA